This 242-nucleotide unclassified non-coding RNA is filed under the name Hevea brasiliensis (rubber tree). Lineage: Eukaryota; Viridiplantae; Streptophyta; Magnoliopsida; Malpighiales; Euphorbiaceae. The record is from RNAcentral.
GUGCAAACAGCUUAGGGUGACACAAGUAGCUUGGGGUUAAAUUCUUGCAGUUAUUUUGGACAACAAUUCUUCAGACUUGGAGAGUGGUUUUUCUCCUUUGGUUUCCCCCCCUUCUUUUUUGCGUGGCUUAUAUACUAGACCAAGGUAAUGAACAUAAAGAAAUAGUAAGACUCAAUAUUUUGUGUAUUUUUUGGUAUCAUCAUAUGACAAUAAGUUUGAUUUUUUUUUUCCUUGUAUGUAGA